This 423-nucleotide long non-coding RNA is filed under the name Monodelphis domestica (gray short-tailed opossum). Its description in RNAcentral is "lncRNA (ENSMODG00000049885.1)". Lineage: Eukaryota; Metazoa; Chordata; Mammalia; Didelphimorphia; Didelphidae. The record is from RNAcentral.
UGUAGUCAUUCUGUCUCUCCCAUCUUCCCAUCUGCCUCCUUGUACCUUUGUACAUACCACCUUCCUGCUCCCACCUUAUUCAUAAAUCAAUUAUAUUAUUUCAGCAAUUUUUCUAGAGUCGGUGUCUGGCUUUCCAUUCCUGGAGGAGGUUAUAUAUCUACAUUUGAGUUCAUGUCUCCACAAUAAAUAUUAUAAACAGUUCAUUCUCCCAAAAUCCCAAGAGAAAGAGGGGGAAGAAAAAGGCCAACAGAGAAAAAGGUCAGUGACAAGGACAUUUUACUAAAUAAGAAAAAGAUUUAAAAGAAAAGUCAGCCACCAUCCACUUGGGUGGUAUAUGUGAUUAUCAAAUUGAGUAUGACUUCAGGUGACACAUUGGCAGUAAUUUAGAUGGUUUGAAUAGAAAUAUAUAAAAUAAGUUUUAAG